Molecule: non-coding RNA, 363 nt
Organism: Pantherophis guttatus
Lineage: Eukaryota; Metazoa; Chordata; Lepidosauria; Squamata; Colubridae
Source: RefSeq, a predicted model, not a curated record
UUUCUCUCCGGAGCGAGCUUUAGUUGGGGGUGGGCUUUUUUAGGGGGGGGGGCGAGAGGGGCGUCCCUCUUUCUAUUUUUCUAUGAAAUUAAAAAAGAAAAAGAAUCACUCGUGUGCUUAAGAUAUUUAACGCUCAAAAAUCUAGACCCUUAUGGGAAAUAGCAACCCCAGACAACCCAAUAAUUGAAAGAUGAAGGUGAGAAACACAAGAUCACUAUCGCCCAUCUUCUCCCACUUAUGACUGCCUGACUGUAACUUUGUUCCUUGUACCCUUACGAUUUAUAUUGAUUGCUUCCUAGUAUGAUUUGAUUGCUUAUUUGUACCCUUUGACUAUCAUUAAAUGUUGUACCUUAUGAUUCUUGA